Molecule: transfer RNA, 73 nt
Filed under: marine bacterium AO1-C
Lineage: Bacteria; Pseudomonadati; Bacteroidota; Cytophagia; Cytophagales; Cytophagaceae
Rfam family: tRNA
About the family: Transfer RNA (tRNA) molecules are approximately 80 nucleotides in length.
Source: Rfam by way of RNAcentral
UGCGCUGUAGUUCAAUGGAUUAGAAUGUCCGGUUUCUACCCGGAGGAUGAGGGUUCGACUCCUUCCAGCGCAA